AGGGCACAAUUGCAGGUGUCAGGGAUGCAAGAGUGAUUAAGAGAGAGGGGGCCCUGCCCUCAUGGAGCCUCACUCCAGAGGGACCUGUAGCCCACACCAAAGGAAAAGGAAGAUGGUGAGCUGAAACAGAAGUCAGAAAUGCAGGCAAGAUAUGUCUGCUGGCUAAGGAUGGUAUUUUAUAAAAGCAGCAUUGCCUCAGAGAAGGUCCUUGACAUUCAUGUCUGGUCCCCAAAAUGCCCAUGGCCAUUCCAAAGCCACCCAAAAGGAGAGGAAAUGUGGCCAAAUGGAAGUCACGGUGGAAAGAGGCAGUGAUCUGAAGCAACUAAACAUCUUACCAUUGCAGAGUUUAUAACAAUGAGAAAUGAAGUCUCAGAGAAAUUGUUUUCUGCCUACACAUGGUGGAAGUAUUUCAAAGCUGGAGUUCAAAACCAGUCCAACAAAGUCCAAGGCCUUGGAAUUCUAGCCAAACCUACUGGCUGAGGCAGAAGAAUGAACAAGAAGCAUCAGCCAGGCCGCUGGCCCAGGCACCAACUCACAGUUGCCCAGUAGGAUUGAGCUCUGGGGCCGUUUACAAGUCCACGUCAUUCCUGUA
Pan troglodytes (chimpanzee) is the source of this 592-nucleotide long non-coding RNA. RefSeq lists it as uncharacterized. The record is from RefSeq and is a predicted model, not a curated record. The transcript has 5 exons. Lineage: Eukaryota; Metazoa; Chordata; Mammalia; Primates; Hominidae.